Molecule: unclassified non-coding RNA, 308 nt
Filed under: uncultured fungus
Lineage: Eukaryota; Fungi
Description: partial contains 5.8S ribosomal RNA, internal transcribed spacer 2, and large subunit ribosomal RNA
Rfam family: 5.8S ribosomal RNA (bases 1-52)
Source: RNAcentral
AACGCACCUUGCGCUCUCUGGUAUUCCGGAGAGCAUGCCUGUUCGAGUGUCGUAACCCUCUCAAUCCAACUGGUCUUUAUUGACUAUGCUGGAUUGGACUUGGGCUCUGCCGUGUUACAACGGCUAGCCUUAAAAGUAUUAGCUGAAUCUAGUCGUAGACUGGUUUGACUCGGCGUGAUAAUUAUCUGACCGCUGAGGACAUCGCAAGAUGGCCAGACAAGACAACGAAUCGCUUCUAAUCGUCGUUUUAUGCGACAAUUUACCACACCUUUGACCUCGGAUCAGGUAGGACUACCCGCUGAACUUAA